UUCCUCUCAAAAUGCUCAUAGAUAUUGGGACAUUGGAGACUGAUAAGGCAAAUACACCCCAGAGACUUCAUCUUGGAAAAAACUUAAAUGUUUCUCUGUGCCUUUGUGAUGUAGAUUUUCUACUCCCAUCUUCUCUAGGACCUGAGAACCAUUCUUUGAAAUACAAACGUUUCUCAUCAGUGAAAAAAAAGCCUUAGCCAUUCAAGCAGGUAAACUUAAUCCUUCCAACUGCCAAGUCAAGAUUUGGAUCCAACUAUUCUUUUAUAAACUAGUGAGUUUUGUAUUGUACCUGAUUCAUAGCAAAAAUUGGACAGAAGCUAUAAGGUCUCUGUUUGUGUCUGUCUGUGUCUUCACAUAUGUCUAUAUGUAUAUGUUGUAAAUGUGAGAGAUUUUUCUACCUCCAGAUGGUAUGGCCAAAACUAAGAGCUCUAUUUAAUUGUCUUAAAAGAGAUUCACGGAAAGGACUCGGACACUUACUCUAGAAUACAGGUUUCUGAUAACUUUAAGAUCAUAAAACUGAACUGGGUAAGAAAUUACAGAACUCUAAUGGAGAAAGUGAUGACAACGAAACUGCUAACAAGAUCAAGAUCAACAGUUGAUUACAUGGGACUAAAUGAACUAAUGAGGAUGAUUAUCAUUUUUAUGACUUUCUGUUUAAAAUAUUGCUGAUUUUUAAAAAUGUUUUCUGGGCCUGGCCCGGUGGCGCAAGUAGUUAAGUGUGUGCGCUCUGCUGCGGCGGCCUGGGGUGCGCCGGUUCGGAUCCCGGGCACGCACCAACACACCCCUUGUCAAGCCAUGCUAUGGCGGCGUCCCGUAUAAAGUAGAGGAAGAUGGGCAUGGAUGUUAGCCCAGGGCCAGUCUCCUCAGCAAAAAAAAAAAAGGAAGAGGAGGAUUGGCAGAUGUUAGCUCAGGGCCGAUCUUCCUCACAAAAAUAAAAUAAAACGUUUUCUUUUUCCAGAUUUAAGGAAACCCUUUUCUAUUUUCUCUUAGGCUAACUAUGACUUAUAAAAAUUUGGUAAAUUAUACUUUUGUAAGCAGAAUUAAAACAUUUCUCUUUUUCUCCCUACCUAAUCCUUCCAGAAUUUAGAAACUCUUAGUUUUCUUAUUUUCAUGGCUAUUUAGUUAAGUUCAAUGAGAAUCUGUUCUCCUCAUAACAGGACACAAUUGGAAACACUGGUUAUAUUACCAAGGCUUUGACUGGAAUACCAUAUUUGAGACAGACAUACAUAGACUCAGAUAUAACCAGAUAGAUUUAAGGAACAAAGACUAACUUUAUGAAAUAAAGCCACUUGAAAAUAUUGGCCUGGUACCUUACUUACAGGGUUCCCAGUAACCUUACCAGGUGAGUAAAGAAGGUCACUUCCUGGCAAAUGCAAAGAACCUCAGGAUAUUUUUGGGACUUCAAAAAGAGAGGAAUUCACCCAAAUCUAAGGUAUUGCAGGCAGAAUCUGAUGACAAGUCCUUGGUUUGGCUUGCCUGGCCUCAAGAGGUGUUUAAAGUUCAAUCAGAGAUUCCUUAUGAAAGUUCCAGCACAGCAGAUUUAAAAGGGCCUGUCUGACCAAUUGCUAUUCUUGCUGUACUUAAGUAAAUAAUUUGCCUAAGUUUGUUGAAACUAGACUUAUUUUACAAAUGAGUUAGCCUUAAUUUGGCUAUCGUUGGUAAAAAUGAGGGUGAUUUUAGAGAGAAAAAUUAUGUUUUGGUAGAAAACUAUAAGACAUAUUCUAGUUCUGUUAAUUGUCUUUGAGGUUUUUGUUUUCUACCUGUAAACUGGACUGAAUCCUGAAUUCUUCUAGUCUCCUGAAAUAUCUGGCUACAAAUCUCCAAACUAACAUUUUUAAUUUUUUUCAUCCUUUUCAUUUGGAAUCAGUGAGAACUAAAACCACUCUUUUUCCUGAUACCCUGCAAACUGAGGCUAAACAACUAGAUAUAAACUUGAGAGAGAUCACCAUGAUAGCCUAUGUUUAGAAAAUCUUCACAUCUGUUGCUGUGUAAGCCGCUUAAAAAGAUACCUGAACACCUAAUGACAUCAUCAGAGACAUUUCAAACUGCAAAAGAUGCUUCAACCCUGACAUCUAGAAAUCUUGCUGGCUGUCCCCUGUGCUCAGAAACUGGUUUAUAAUUUGCUCCCAACAUUAACCUUGUUUUUCUUUUUGUUUCCAUAGAAAUGCUUCUUACUAAAUACCUGAUUGCUUGCUUACACAAUAUAGGCCUAACCUUGGGAACCUAUCUGCAUCACUGCCUCCUGAAAUGAAUUUAACUGGACUGAUCUAUUAUCAGGACUAAGAGAUAUAUUCACUGAGAUGGAGCAAUCUACCAACUCGUCUUCUGGACUAUGAAACUGCUUGAAGUUUCAAAACUGAAACCUGGCUCUUCUAGAAGACACUGCUUCCCCAACAAGCCUCUCAUAUAAAUGCUGCCUUUUCUCAAAUACCACCCACUGAGAGAGUGCAGGUAACAGCAGUGAAGUAACUUGAAGGCAGUUAAACAGAAGGAGCUUUCAUCUGCGUCAGGAAACAUCUUGGAACACCCUGUGUUCAGAUAUGAAUGCUAUGAAAAUCUGACGACAUUCUCAGCAGUGUGAUGAUUUGAUGAUGGUUUUCUACCAUUUAGAAAUGACAGUUGUUAUGAAUUGAGUGUUUGUGUCCCCCCAAAAUUCAGAUGUUGAAAUCCUAACCCCUAAUGGUAUUAACAGAUUGGGCCUUUGGGAGGUAAUUAGGUCAUGAAGGUAGAGCCCUCAUGAAUGGGGUCAGUGCCCUUAUAAGGAAAUGAAGGGACCAGUGCUUUCUUUUUCUGCCAUGUGAGAAGACAAUGAGAAGUCAGUCAUCUGCGGCCUAGAAGAGGCCCUCACCAGAACUCAACUGUGCUGGCACCCUGGUCUCAGACUCCCAGGCUCUAGAACUCUGAGAAACAAAUUUCUGUUGUUUAAGCCACGUGGUCUAUGGUAUUUUUGUUAUAGAAGUCUGAAUGGACUAAGACAAUAGUUUUUGAAUUCCUGCACCAGGAAUGAAGCAAUUUUACCCCUGAGACUCAGUAACUCCCAUGCCUGACUGAACUUCCAUCCCACACCCAACCCCCAUCCUACACCCAACCCAUCCUACGCCCAACCCAAAUUACUACUCAGGUUAGUGCUUGGCCAUUGCUUGCCCUGACCUUACGGUAAAUAAACUUGUGUCUUUUUUCCUUCAUUUAAAAAUUUUUUUCGGGCCGGCCCCGAGAAAAGCCCCGGUGGCUUGGCAGUUAAGUGCGCGCAC
Molecule: long non-coding RNA, 3251 nt
Organism: Diceros bicornis minor
Lineage: Eukaryota; Metazoa; Chordata; Mammalia; Perissodactyla; Rhinocerotidae
Exons: 5
Source: RefSeq, a predicted model, not a curated record